Long non-coding RNA from Mya arenaria, 189 nucleotides. RefSeq lists it as uncharacterized. The transcript is spliced from 3 exons. NCBI's taxonomy places the organism in Eukaryota, Metazoa, Mollusca, Bivalvia, Myida, Myidae. The record is from RefSeq and is a predicted model, not a curated record.
GCGACUUUCAUUCAGCUACCAACAUGAUCAAAAGAAAUAUUUCUACCAGUUACUCUUGAGUCACCUCCAAGCAUUCCCUUAUCCCAAAUUGAUAUUAAAAGAGAAUGUUGAUGAGCCUGAUCCGUCGAUUCAAAUACCAUAACACAGCCAACCCCAAAAAAACAACAGCAAACAAGUGAGCAAGCUGAC